UAUGAUGAUAUAAUCCACUCAGGAUUCCCUCUUCUGAGUAGAACCCUAAACAACCGUGCUGUCCACAUUCCCUGUCUGAA
This 80-nucleotide small nucleolar RNA is filed under the name Drosophila ananassae. Its description in RNAcentral is "snoRNA:GF26121". The record is from RNAcentral. Lineage: Eukaryota; Metazoa; Arthropoda; Insecta; Diptera; Drosophilidae.